RNAcentral lists this ribosomal RNA (460 nucleotides) under uncultured bacterium. Its description in RNAcentral is "partial 16S ribosomal RNA". It matches the Rfam family "Bacterial small subunit ribosomal RNA", at positions 338 to 795 of the family's 1533-position model. The record is from RNAcentral.
CCUACGGGUGGCAGCAGUGAGGAAUAUUGGUCAAUGGACGAGAGUCUGAACCAGCCAAGUAGCGUGAAGGAUGACUGCCCUAUGGGUUGUAAACUUCUUUUAUCUGGGAAUAAAACAGGGUAUGCAUACCCUCUUUUAUGUACCAUAUGAAUAAGGAUCGGCUAACUCCGUGCCAGCAGCCGCGGUAAUACGGAGGAUCCGAGCGUUAUCCGGAUUUAUUGGGUUUAAAGGGAGCGUAGGUGGAGUGUUAAGUCAGUUGUGAAAGUUUGCGGCUCAACCGUAAAAUUGCAGUUGAAACUGGCAGUCUUGAGUACAGUAGAGGUGGGCGGAAUUCGUGGUGUAGCGGUGAAAUGCUUAGAUAUCACGAAGAACUCCGAUUGCGAAGGCAGCUCACUGGACUGCAACUGACACUGAUGCUCGAAAGUGUGGGUAUCAAACAGGAUUAGAUACCCCAGUAGUC